UGCACCAAAUGUUCCUGAAUAACUUUGAAAAGAAUGUAUGACAAUCAGGCCACCAGAGAAGGAACUUUUCGAUACUGACGGUCAAACGAGGGUCACCAUAACUACGACUUAGUUUUUUAUUGUUGACUUCCGUCGAUUGAAAUGUCUCGCGCCACACAGCCUCUAUACGUGAACCAAAUCAAUGACUCAGAUGAAUUUCCUUCAGUGAGGGAUAACACCUGAAAGGCUACUGAGUGUUACUGAUUUUAAUGGCUAACAAGUGUCGCGGCGUGGAUUGAUUGCAUUAUAUUCGAAUGAAGACUCCAGACGUUAGCGGCGAGCUUUGCAGAGAAAGGCAUGGAAAGCUUCGGAAGGCCUUAAAAAAAGGGAACAAAAAACUCAUCAUGCCGACCAAGUUUAUUCCGAAUGUACUUUGGAACGGUCGACAACUACUCAAAAACUGAAACGGAAAGAAAAAAAUUAUAACUGUUGCGUUUCUUGGACCGUCGAACUUUCACCCCCGAUUUCCUUCACGUAAACUGGGCAUGACGUCACUGGAGUGAGCGAACGCGGCAGAGCGUGGAAGAUGCUACACUUCGACAAGCUCGUGAAAAAUAUCACGGACGAGUAAGUGUAAAGAGGCUAGGCAGUGUCAGUAUAAGCUUAUCCCAGUUGGAAAGUGCGCUGUUUGAGUCGAUUAGAACGUACUGAGCAGGAAGUCAAUUGCUCCUUUGUGCGGAGUAAAUUCUAGCAUGGUAUUGAUCUAGUUUCCUGAAUAAUUGGGGUAUCAUAUAUAUGGAAAUGUCUUAGGAUUUAUCUGAUUAGUGAAAAACAUUGUUUAAAGCAAUGAUAUCGAGCCACCGAGUGUGCGUUGAGAUUUGUGGCUAAAUGACAAAUUCCUUCUCAGUUUACUGCUCCAAUGAACUGCACUUACUGGUUCAUCGUGCAUUUACAAUAAUAAAAUUCAUUUUAAUCCGUUUUAUUUCUUUUAUUUUGUUUUCCUGUAUCUUCUUUGUGACAAUCAGGCGGCCACUCUUACUUCAACAGCUACAGCCUAUGCUUAGUCAUUAGAUGGUUCAUCACAUAAGAAAAAAAAGCUCUGACACAAAAUGUUAACCGUCAGGUGGUUAGAAAGAUUUAUUGCUGUCAUUAACUGCGGAUAGAAUAAAUUAACUAUUAACAAUGGUUGAGCAUUCACGUGGGUUUGCACCUUUAGAACUCCAAGGCGUCUGCCUGAAUCACGUUAAACCUUUUAAAGAUACCAUUUAAUACAAACAAAAGCUUCUUUGUUGAAAUCAAUAAAAUAAUCAUGAUAAAAAAGCAGAAAUGUACCUACUUACGUACUUCUAUUGAAAAAGAAAUUCUAAAUAUAUGAACAAUACAUAUGCAAAGUUCCGAUCACGGCUUCGCACACACGACAAAGGAAAAAGCUAAACGGAUUUUCGAAAAAACAAUGUUAGGAUAAAAAUGUCACCUCUCGAAAUUUGUAAGAAGUGUCAGUUAUUUUAGGAAAUUAUAAGUUGUCAUGUCGCAUGUUUUACGGCCGGAUUCGCCGCCAGUAGGUAGCGGUGACGUGCACCCUGACGUCAUGGCUGUUGUUUUGUUCUCUUAGGAUUAAAUCCACUCGGAGCACUAAACAGCAUGCAAAGAUUGAUUUCAUUGCACAGUUACAAAAUCACAGAGAAAAUGUCAGCCGAGUUUAUCUAAACAAGACACAGAAAUGAACGAAGUGAAACGGAAAGCGACGUCGAAAUACUUCGAGCAAGAAAUUUGGAACAAUUUGUCGAAGCAAAAUUCUUUUGAAGAUCGGCGACUGAAUUUGAAAUACCAUAAACUGGAAAAGGACGAGUCUAUUACAGUUAGAUCAUGGAAUCAGGAACAGCUGGUCAUGCUGAGGAGGAAUAAAAAGCUGCACAGCCUCAUGGACAUGAAUUACUCAAGAUACCUCACUCUGCCAACGUUAACCCCAGCCCCGCGCUCCCGCUCAACAACUGAUUAUACUCGAGGAAAUACUGGAUUAGGGUUGCCAUCUGAUGUACGAUCACGGCCUCGUUCACAUUCAGAUCAUUCGAAAAGAGACAGGCCAUCGACGAAGCAGCCGAAAAGACAAGAGGAGGUCAGUUUUCCAGCCGUUUCCACCACAUUGAAUGUACGGAGCUCACAUUCUGCUAAUUCACAGCGUUCAAGCUUAUCAGAUAGCGAAAUAACAAAACAAAAUAGAACGAGUUGGACUCGACCAUCCACCCAGCUUCAUAAGAGAGAUAACAUCACGCCUCGGCUGUGACUAGUUUCACCAAACUUUAAAAUUAGGGAUCAUUAGUUCACUCGUGGAAAACAUUGCUUCGUCUUAGUAAAGAAAUGAUAAAAGCUGAUAAAACUCACGGAUUAAUAACAUUCCAAUCAAGUUGUCGAUGCACUCAGCCAUUCAAUGGAAAGUGGUUCAACCCGCAAAUCAAGUUGAGAUGUUGGACCUCGAUAAACAAAGCGAGAUAGAUUCAACUUGUUUAUUUAAUUUCAACGAGACGAAAAAAUAACAGAUAUUUUAAAACACACAUUUUGUUACGGCUCCAGUGAAAACUAAUAAUUAUGACAAUAAUUAAUCCUAUGUAAUCUUCUUAAUUUAACAAUGAAAACACAAACUACAGAUAUUUUCACGAGACAAACAUGAAUUAAAGCUACUGUUUUGAUGGAAAAA
Long non-coding RNA from Orbicella faveolata, 2674 nucleotides. NCBI's taxonomy places the organism in Eukaryota, Metazoa, Cnidaria, Anthozoa, Scleractinia, Merulinidae. The record is from RefSeq and is a predicted model, not a curated record.